CACACACACUCUCUGAGCAUAAGCUGCUAGCCAGACUCCCUCUCCCCAUUUUCUGCCAACAUUUCAGAUACUUCCUUGAGGUCUGUUCUCAGAGCUCCUGACAAUUUGUGGUGUUUAGUGACAGAACUGUUACUUUCACAUUUCUUGCUGUUUUAAUGAGACUAUCUGUAGCUAAGAAAAGUGACAUGGUGGCUGGUCCCCUCCCUGGCUCACUGCUGGUCAGCAUUGCCCUUGCUACUUCCAGCCUGCCCUGAAUAUUCCCAUCUCUGCCCAAUAGCGACUACCGAUUUUCUCAAGAUUUGGAGGAUAUGAAAUUUACUCAUCUUAGAAGAGAACUGGACAUCGUAAACCAAAAAAGAUAUUUUAAACAGUCAACAUUUAACCCAAAGGAAUACAUCUUUAAUGCCAUGUAGGGCAUGCCUCCUUCUUCUUUGCCUUCUGCCAUGAUAGUAAGUUUCCUGAAGACUCCCAGCCAUGCCUCCUGUACAGCCUGGGGAACUAAUCUAAAUUAGAGUGAUUUCCUCCCGCAGAAAAGUCAGGCCAUCCAUCCUGACAUAUGCAGAUUUGAAGAUGAUGUGGGAGAGGAAAGAAAGGGCGAGGAAAUUUAUGUUCUAUCCUCAGAAGCUGACUCACGGACCAAGCAGGUAGAACUAAGGGGUCUUUCCACAGCAAACCUGAGAAAUACUGACAUAAAAAUAUCUCUGGACUGGACCCAAGAUUCAGAAGAACUGCAUUCAAGCCCCAGCUUCACCAAAAUACCAUGUGAGACUGAGUUUACUGUGUCUAUUGAUUGUUCAUUCAUCUAAUAAACAUUUUUAACCAUUUACUUUGUGCUAGAUCCUGUGAGAUAGGGAUGUUUCUCAUCUGUAAAAUGAGGAUAGUAAUACUAGCAUACAAAAUUAUUAAGGUCAAAUAAGAUACUAAACCCAAAAUCAUUUCAUAACUAUAGUUCUGUGCAAAUAUAAGAUACUUUCAGACUUUAGGCACGUUAUUGAUUAAAAAGAAUUUUCUGUGUUAACCUUUGAACUUAAUCAUUAUUUAUAGCAUUGUUUCCAUGCAGGACACACUAUGUUAGAGCACUGGGAAACACAUCUGCUUCUCCUAGUGUCUUCCUCUAGCCACUCUGCCUCAUCUCCUAUAGAACCUACGGUGUUGGCCAGCCAAGGAUAAAAUGAAGCCACAUCACAAAUAACUUUCCCUUUCCCAUUUAAGACCCAACAGUCACUGAUCAACUUUUAGAAUAAAAAAGAGAAUAAAUUGGUUUCAAAGACCCUUCUGAUACUCUAGGACCCCAUGAUAAAUCCAAUACUCUUAAUGUAUCACAAACAAAGUCUUCGAGUAUAAUAGACAUGAAUGUGUCAGUGACUGAAAGUCACUACAUGAGGAACUCUGAAGAAGAAAGAAGCUUAAAGAGAUAGAAACAGAUAUUUUCCACAAGUGUGCCAUUGCCUUCUGGAGCUAAGGCAGCCCUGAGUUCUGCAGGGAGUUCUACCACUGGCUACUCAUGCCCACAUCUCAGGACAAUGCAAAGUGUACAGUCUUCCUAAAGGAGCUCAGCCUUUGGGGCCACCAUGCCAAAGAAAAGCCAUUCUGCAAUAGGAAUAAAAAGGGGAUAAAGUGGCAGAAGGAAAGCAACCUCUAACCGAAGAAAGGAGUAGUUUUCAUCUCAAAGAAAGCUCUUUCAGAAACUGGAGGCAAGAGCCACACUGGAAAUUACUAUUGUAAAGGAUGGAAAUGCUGCCAAGGUAUCUGGUUGAAACCUGCCAUUCAAAAGGGUUGAAUGCAAAUAAUAUUCCUUCAGGCCAAGUAAAGUCACAGAGACUUUUAAUUUUUUUUCUUUUUGGCUUUUAAGCCUUAGAAGAGUUAUAGGCUACUUGAAAAAUAAUUUUGUCAAAAUCAUCUAGAAGCAAAGGAAUCAGUGUCAUGGUUUAUAAGCUUAUUCACAAGAGAAUGAAGAAUCUACCUCCUGACCACAUCUGCACGUGGCCAUAAAAAUAAGCUAUUUUUUUCAAAUGAACACACAUGUACUAAGUGCUCCAUGUUUGAAAUGCUGGAAAGGUGCUCAGGGUACUGAAAUGAGGAUGGAUAACCCCCGAGUUCUGUUUGCUUACUAUCUAUUUGGAAAAUAAAUGCCUACACAGACUCCCUUUAGCAAAGCCUACAGAAAGAGCUUUGCAGAAGGGACUCUACGUCAAGAGGUACCAAACCAUGCUGUGAAAAUACAGGGGGAAACAGAGAUUAAUUCUGCAAAAAGAUCUGAGAGAGCAAACUGAAGGAGAAAUAUUUAAAGAUAAUAACAUGAAAGUAUAAUAUAAGUAGGCAUAAUUUGCAGAGGUUAGUAAUUUGGUAAAUAAAGCAGGAAUAAUGGGUCAAAAUGGCCAGCCACAAAGAGCAAAGAAAGAGGUAAGAAAAUUUAAUCAACAAAAUAUGCUUAUACCAAUUUUUGCACCAUCCUUAUUUUGUAUCUUCCCAGUUUCCCUUAGUUUACCCAGCUAAGUUUGAUGACAGGAGUUCAGCAGAUGCUAUUGGUUACUUCAACAUCCAUUGUUUUUCUUCUACUUUUGUUCAAGUGGCUACUCUGUAUACGGCCUUUGACUUUAAGACAGACUAACCCACAAGGGUGAAUCCUCGGGGGCCAUGCCUAUCAUGGUACCCUUAAACCUCUUCCUGCCAGUGGUUUGUUUGGGAAUGAACAUGCAAAAAAAUUUUGGCCAUUGAUGCUGGAAGACUUUGAGGAAAGAUUUCCUUGAUUUCAAAAGUGAACCCAAGGGAAAGACCCGGGUUUUUUUGUUUUCUUACUUCUCUCUCAGGAUAUUUUCCUGUCUAGAUGUGGUGCCUGGAGCUGCUGGUACCAUGUUAGGAUGAUAGAGUGGGAAAAUGGAAAAAGGUUGAUUCCUAAUGACUACACCACUGAACCAACCAGCCCCGAAACCCCUACUUCUCCACUUCAUGCAUGUGAGAAAAUAAAUGUCCUCACUACUUUAACCAGCUGUUUCAGGUUUCUGUUACUUGUGCUGAGGGAAUCCUAACUGACACCAGGAGAUACCAUAUCUUCGUUCCGCUCUGGCUGGGAAACAGACACACACAUGGAUCCUAGGAGAUGGUUCAUUGCCAUUGAGUAGUGCAUGAAGAAAAAUGUAGUAAAGCUUCCUAUAAAACUCCUCACUGAAGCUCAGAUUUGAUUCUGAUUAGAGGCCCCUCCACUCAUCUCUGUG
Molecule: long non-coding RNA, 3215 nt
Filed under: Homo sapiens (human)
Lineage: Eukaryota; Metazoa; Chordata; Mammalia; Primates; Hominidae
Description: HSALNT0146489
Source: RNAcentral